GGGGAAUAUUGCACAAUGGGGGAAACCCUGAUGCAGCGACGCCGCGUGGAGGAAGAAGGUCUUCGGAUUGUAAACUCCUGUUGUUGGGGAAGAUAAUGACGGUACCCAACAAGGAAGUGACGGCUAACUACGUGCCAGCAGCCGCGGUAAAACGUAGGUCACAAGCGUUGUCCGGAAUUACUGGGUGUAAAGGGAGCGCAGGCGGGAAGACAAGUUGGAAGUGAAAUCUAUGGGCUCAACCCAUAAACUGCUUUCAAAACUGUUUUUCUUGAGUAGUGCAGAGGUAGGCGGAAUUCCCGGUGUAGCGGUGGAAUGCGUAGAUAUCGGGAGGAACACCAGUGGCGAAGGCGGCCUACUGGGCACCAACUGACGCUGAGGCUCGAAAGUGUGGGUAGCAAACAGGAUUAGAUACCCUGGUAGUCCACACCGUAAACAAUGAUUACUAGGUGUUGGAGGAUUGACCCCUUCAGUGCCGCAGUUAACACAAUAAGUAAUCCACCUGGGGAGUACGACCGCAAGGUUGAAACUCAAAGGAAUUGACGGGGGCCCGCACAAGCAGUGGAGUAUGUGGUUUAAUUCGACGCAACGCGAAGAACCUUACCAAGUCUUGACAUCCCUUGACAGGCAUAGAAAUAUGUUUUCUCUUCGGAGCAAGGAGACAGGUGGUGCAUGGUUGUCGUCAGCUCGUGUCGUGAGAUGUUGGGUUAAGUCCCGCAACGAGCGCAACCCUUAUGGUCAGUUACUACGCAAGAGGACUCUGGCCAGACUGCCGUUGACAAAACGGAGGAAGGUGGGGAUGACGUCAAAUCAUCAUGCCCUUUAUGACUUGGGCUACACACGUACUACAAUGGCGUUAAACAAAGAGAAGCAAGACCGCGAGGUGGAGCAAAACUCAGAAACAACGUCCCAGUUCGGACUGCAGGCUGCAACUCGCCUGCACGAAGUCGGAAUUGCUAGUAAUCGUGGAUCAGCAUGCCACGGUGAAUACGUUCCCG
RNAcentral lists this ribosomal RNA (995 nucleotides) under uncultured organism. Its description in RNAcentral is "bacterial SSU rRNA". It matches the Rfam family "Bacterial small subunit ribosomal RNA", at positions 356 to 1376 of the family's 1533-position model. The record is from RNAcentral.